GGUGGCCGGAUAGCUGCGCCGCGGAAAGGAAAAUCCGUUGGUGAGGAAAGUCCGGGCUUCAAGGGAACAAGACACCAGAUAACGUCUGGCUGGAGAAAUCCAAGGGAAAGUGCCGCAGAAAAUUACCGCCGGAAUGUUUUCCGGUAAGGUUGAAAAGGUGAGGUAAGAGCUUACCGCGCAGGCAGCAAUGUCUGUGGUCAAGGUAAACCCUGUCUGAAGCAAGACCAAGUUAGGAGAGCUUCUUUUUUUAGAAGUUAUAGGGAGAGUUCCUAAUCCGCUCCAGAGGUAGGUCGCGUUGAGCUGCUUAGCGAUAAUCAGCCUAGAUGAAUAGCUAUCGCUUCUGCUUUUGCUUUGGCAAAACUACUGAAGCACAGAACCCGGCUUAUAGGCCGCCUG
RNAcentral lists this RNase P RNA (396 nucleotides) under human gut metagenome. RNAcentral describes it as "Bacterial RNase P class A". It matches the Rfam family "Bacterial RNase P class A". Rfam says of the family: Ribonuclease P (RNase P) is a ubiquitous endoribonuclease, found in archaea, bacteria and eukarya as well as chloroplasts and mitochondria. The record is from RNAcentral.